UACGUAGGGGGCAAGCGUUAUCCGGAUUUACUGGGUGUAAAGGGAGCGUAGGCGGUUUAGCAAGUCAGAAGUGAAAGCCCGGGGCUCAACUCCGGGACUGCUUUUGAAACUGUUGAACUAGAGAAUAGUUGCGGUAGGCGGAAUGUAUGGUGUAGCGGUGAAAUGCUUAGAGAUCAUACAGAACACCGAUUGCGAAGGCAGCUUACCAAACUAUAUCUGACGUUGAGGCACGAAAGCGUGGGUAGCAAACAGG
RNAcentral lists this ribosomal RNA (253 nucleotides) under uncultured Rikenellaceae bacterium. RNAcentral describes it as "partial 16S ribosomal RNA". It matches the Rfam family "Bacterial small subunit ribosomal RNA", at positions 524 to 776 of the family's 1533-position model. The record is from RNAcentral. Lineage: Bacteria; Pseudomonadati; Bacteroidota; Bacteroidia; Bacteroidales; Rikenellaceae.